Theobroma cacao (cacao) is the source of this 1252-nucleotide long non-coding RNA. RefSeq lists it as uncharacterized. Lineage: Eukaryota; Viridiplantae; Streptophyta; Magnoliopsida; Malvales; Malvaceae. The record is from RefSeq and is a predicted model, not a curated record.
GGUUCCUUUUCUUUUCUCUCCAGAACACUCUCCCUCUCUUUUCUCCUUCGCCGCCGGCGUAAGCUCUUUCCUUCUUCUUUUUUGUUUUCUUCCCUCUCUCUUCCUCACCUUUCUCCGUAACCGUCUGCAGCUUUCUCCAUCGGCGUCUUCUUAUCUCCUUCUCUUCUCCCUAUCUUUCUUUGUUAUUUUCUUCUAUCUUCCUUUGUUGGUUCUUCUACCUCCUGGCCCCCCUUCAAAAACCUUCUCCAAUGGAAAAUCUGCCGUUCAUCCUUGCUGCCGACUACCCAAAACCCCACCUUCUUGCCGGCCUUUUCAUAAUCGGAUCUCUGUCUUUCUCCUUUAGCCGGCCAUACCACCUUCACACCCUCCAAAUUCAUCACAAAUCCGAACCCACAUUCGUGGGUCAUUGCCAAGUUCUUAAUUUUCUUUUUUUUUGUAUUAUUUUUGUAUUUUGUGUUUGAGUGCUUGGUCUGCUACUGUGGUUGUGCAUCGAGUCUGCGUUUGGAAAUGGGUUUUGAUAUGAGGGCUGAUAUUCACUUUAGUCUUUGAAUGGUUGAAAACUUUGCUACUUAAAUUAUUUGCUCGGCUUUUGUUUGCUCAUCUCUGCAUCGUCUACUGUUAUUGUCUACAUCUUCCAACACUCUCUAUUAGUGUCACUUAGCACAGAAGAAUGACAAAACAAAUUGAGAAAGGCAAGGCAAAAUUGUUUAAUGCCAAAAGAAGGAAGCAUUCCAAAGCACACUGAUGAUUCAUUUUCAUUUGUGGUUUAUGCAAAAAUGAUGGUAUGAAUUAAUCUUACUUCGCAUUUAUAUGUAUGGUUUUUCUUCAAACUAAAUUUAAAUUGUAUGUUUAGUAAUUUGACUUUGGUUUUUCAUUACAUGUUAUUUAUAUAUAUCGAUUAUGAUUGAGCAUAUAUAGUUGUAAAUAAAUGCAGGCAAUUGAGAUGAAACGAGAUAUUAGUUUUUUGGAAGUGUUCAACCGCACUCAUAAGCGCUCAAGGGGCCAUGGUAUUUUAUAAAUAAUAAGUCCAAGUCUACGAGUGUACGUAUAAAAUUGAUUUAUUUUUACUUUAAAGUUGACAACUUAGCUGAAUAAUAAUUUUGAUUAAUUUUUUAUGUAAGAAAUGUAUAAUUUUGUACUAUCACAGAGUAUGGUGAGGAUUUAUAUUCUCAGUCAGAAUUAGAUCCGCAUGCUUGGACUGAAGCAAUUGGAGUGAUGGAAACUACACUGUCAAACCCUAUUCUAUAAAAUA